This 85-nucleotide transfer RNA is filed under the name Hyphomonas sp. RNAcentral describes it as "tRNA-Leu". It matches the Rfam family "tRNA". Rfam says of the family: Transfer RNA (tRNA) molecules are approximately 80 nucleotides in length. RNAcentral also lists the same sequence under 14 other names. The record is from RNAcentral. Lineage: Bacteria; Pseudomonadati; Pseudomonadota; Alphaproteobacteria; Hyphomonadales; Hyphomonadaceae.
GCGGUCGUGGCGGAAUUGGUAGACGCGCAGCGUUGAGGUCGCUGUGGGGCAACCCGUGGAGGUUCGAGUCCUCUCGACCGCACCA